Molecule: ribosomal RNA, 593 nt
Filed under: Escherichia coli
Lineage: Bacteria; Pseudomonadati; Pseudomonadota; Gammaproteobacteria; Enterobacterales; Enterobacteriaceae
Description: partial 23S ribosomal RNA
Rfam family: Bacterial large subunit ribosomal RNA
Source: RNAcentral
AAUGGGUCAGCGACUUAUAUUCUGUAGCAAGGUUAACCGAAUAGGGGAGCCGAAGGGAAACCGAGUCUUAACUGGGCGUUAAGUUGCAGGGUAUAGACCCGAAACCCGGUGAUCUAGCCAUGGGCAGGUUGAAGGUUGGGUAACACUAACUGGAGGACCGAACCGACUAAUGUUGAAAAAUUAGCGGAUGACUUGUGGCUGGGGGUGAAAGGCCAAUCAAACCGGGAGAUAGCUGGUUCUCCCCGAAAGCUAUUUAGGUAGCGCCUCGUGAAUUCAUCUCCGGGGGUAGAGCACUGUUUCGGCAAGGGGGUCAUCCCGACUUACCAACCCGAUGCAAACUGCGAAUACCGGAGAAUGUUAUCACGGGAGACACACGGCGGGUGCUAACGUCCGUCGUGAAGAGGGAAACAACCCAGACCGCCAGCUAAGGUCCCAAAGUCAUGGUUAAGUGGGAAACGAUGUGGGAAGGCCCAGACAGCCAGGAUGUUGGCUUAGAAGCAGCCAUCAUUUAAAGAAAGCGUAAUAGCUCACUGGUCGAGUCGGCCUGCGCGGAAGAUGUAACGGGGCUAAACCAUGCACCGAAGCUGCGGCAG